GAUGAACGCUAGCGGCAGGCUUAACACAUGCAAGUCGAGGGGUAGGUUACUUCGGUAAUUGAGACCGGCGCACGGGUGCGUAACGCGUAUACAAUCUACCUUUUACAGAGGGAUAGCCCAGAGAAAUUUGGAUUAAUACCUCAUAGUAUUUUGAAUCGCAUGAUUUGAUUAUUAAAGUUCCAACGGUAAAAGAUGAGUAUGCGUCCCAUUAGCUAGAUGGUAAGGUAACGGCUUACCAUGGCUACGAUGGGUAGGGGUCCUGAGAGGGAGAUCCCCCACACUGGUACUGAGACACGGACCAGACUCCGUACGGGAGGCAGCAGUGAGGAAUAUUGGACAAUGGGCGCAAGCCUGAUCCAGCCAUGCCG
This 368-nucleotide ribosomal RNA is filed under the name uncultured bacterium. Its description in RNAcentral is "bacterial SSU rRNA". It matches the Rfam family "Bacterial small subunit ribosomal RNA", at positions 28 to 399 of the family's 1533-position model. The record is from RNAcentral.